AUUUUAUAUUAAAUUAAAGCAAUGUUUCCCCUGAAUAAAAUGAUAUAUGAUAAGGGUGGGUGCAUUUAAUAUGAAAGAGGUGAAUUACGGUUGGACAGACAUGUAGCGCAAAUGCCAGGUUUUGUUUACAUUUUGUUUCGUUCACAACGUGUACAUUUAGCUCAGUCCUUAAGGGGUUAAAGAUAUCACCCCUUCCUCUCCUUUAAUCUGUUUAAAUAAUAAUCAUGGGUAUUGUUUAGGGAUUAUGGUGUGGAGUUAGUAAACUUUCUGACUUAUUGAAUGCUGUUCCAAAUGAUUUAUCUAAAGAGGUCACCAUUAAAUUGACACUAAAGGCACCCAGACCACUUCAUCUCAAUGAAGUGAUCUGGGUGCACUGGUACUAUAGUUUCAAUGUAAAGCAUUGCUGUUUUGUUAGAUACAGCAAUCCUUAUAUUACACAGUAAAAUGCGCUUCUAGUAUUCUUUAUUACAGCCACCAGAGGAGCAUCCACUUUGAGAACCAAGUCAAUCUUGGUUCUCGCAACUUACCUUCAGUAGGGGUGCUGUACUUUAGGGAGAGAAGCUGAAUCUAAAUAAAGAGGAGAACAAUGUAGAGUUAGAAAUAUAGGUUUGUAUUCCUAACACUAUAGUGUUCCUUUAAUGCAGUGGUUUCCAAACUUUCUAUCACAAAUUCUCAAUUUAUGUUAUGCAUAACCCAUAUGAUGCUUCUUAUGGGACUAGAGACCACUUUCAUACAGUUCAUUUCUGUUAUUAAAGUGAAAUUAUCACCUCUACUGCAAAAUAACUGGAAUUUCACUGAAAUUCCAUCCCAGUCAAAAGAUAGGGACUACUUUUGUCUCAGUAAUUUCCUACAUGCAAGAGUGCCCCAACUGAAGCACCAGGAGCAGAAGAGGACUGUCCGGUAGAUGUUGGUGGCAUCCACAAGGGAAAGGUUCAGGUAAAUGUAACUCACCUUUGCCUUCCCCUCUCCUUGGCCACCAGACCCCCAGUGGAGAUGUCAAUGAUAGGGUUUUUUUCAAAAUAUGCAAAGUCCACAGUUGGUGAAAGUGCAGUUUUAAUGGUAAUUUAAAGAAAUAAUUUUGUGCUAGGAAGAGCAAAUCAAUUUAAAAAAAAAAUGAUAUUGGGGUGCUUUGCUUUACUUAGAUGUUAUGCUAUAAGGUAGAAGUGACUUGAGCCGUAUGAUUUUUGACAAUUCGUUUGUAAGACUCUGAGAAUAGAGAAUACUCUGGAUACAGUCAGAUUUAAAAUUAAAGUCAGUUGCCCAAACAUACACUAAUGUGACUGAAUUGCUCACCGGACUUCUGAAUCCAUGUACGUUCCGCAGAUAUAAAAUUAAUAUAAAUAACAUACACAGUAAGUGUCUGGAAAUCAUAAAGUAAAUUAAUGGAACAGGUAAAUAUUCAUGUUAUUAGAAAAAACAACAACAAUAUAUAUCAUAAUAUGUAUAUAUCCUUAUAAAUUGUUGAAACAAAGAAUGAAAAACGGCGUUAAGGUCAAUGAGUGUUACCUAAACACUGAUUUUAGGACACUUAUGAAAGUGGAGUAGUUAUAAUGGAAAUCUGUGGAAUGGUGAUUCACAAAAUGCAUACAAAAUCCAGCAAGCAUUCAAAGAUUGAUAUACUUCCUGGUAUUAGUUGUCCAUUAUUUGUUGGUACUGUGUUUCUCCACAUUUACAUCAUCUUUAUGAGUUACUUCAGUAUCUGAAAGAAAUAAGUACUCCGUAAAAUUAUGCUAUUAGUGGGGUUAGUUAAACUGUUUAAAAUAAUGUCAGUGUAAUAGAUAUUUUAUGUUUGCAAUCCAUUAUUAUUUCUCCAUAAUGUGUUCUAUUUCCACCAUGGAGGAAGUAGAUGACAAUGAGAUCUUAAGAAAAAGGAGAGCUGAGAAGGAAGGUAACUUUGGACAUUGAGUUAUUUGUACCAUGUUUAAAAACUAAAUCUCUUUAAUCCCCUCAUUAGCAACAUUUGUACACAUGGCUAUGGCUUCAUUUUGAAUGAACGACUGUAAAUGAUGUCAACUCCCUGCUGUCCAUCACCUCGUGCUUACAUCGCCCGAGUUCUGCAUGUUUCCUGAACAACAACUGCAAGGAAGAAAAUUAUUUUGGAAUAACUCAGGAUACAUAUCUAAGUAUGCUUGUGACCUGCAAUACAACCUGCAAUUUUCAUUGAACUAAGAAUGCCUGUUUUUUGCCAGGCAACAGUAUUUACUGUGAUUUUCAUUUUUACAUCCAGUUGGUAUGUUGGGGAGUGUACAUUCUAAAAACCCCAAAUAUGUGUUAGACAUGCCUAAAGCUUUUCACCUUUUCUACCAUAUACAAUGAAAAAUAUAAUUAAUUUUGUUUAUUUUUUUAUCAACCUCUUAUUUUGGUAUAUGCACGACAAAAAAAAAUGAGAUGUCUUGGUAAUUGAUACAAGGUAAUCGUGAAUAGCCUAUGAACAUAAUGAUAAACCAAACAAAAUGUUAUAGUAUAAUGAGUGGUAAUUGGGUGAUACAAAUAAGACAUAGUAUAGUAUGGAGAUAGAAUAACACAAAACAUUUAAAUGGGUAUGUGGCGCUCGUUUAAUAAUAAUCAAGUGCAGCCUAAAACAACUUAAAGUGUAACGUCACCUUAUACACUUAACAAAAAUAGUAGAAAAACCAACGAAAAAGUGUUAAAGCACACACAAUGAUUAAAAAUUAUUUACAUUUUAAAACUUAAUGAGAAGGAUCUUGUAAC
RNAcentral lists this long non-coding RNA (2712 nucleotides) under Pelobates cultripes (western spadefoot toad). The record is from RNAcentral. Lineage: Eukaryota; Metazoa; Chordata; Amphibia; Anura; Pelobatidae.